RNAcentral lists this ribosomal RNA (651 nucleotides) under Paenibacillus sp. FJAT-17069. RNAcentral describes it as "bacterial SSU rRNA". It matches the Rfam family "Bacterial small subunit ribosomal RNA", at positions 70 to 705 of the family's 1533-position model. The record is from RNAcentral. Lineage: Bacteria; Bacillati; Bacillota; Bacilli; Caryophanales; Paenibacillaceae.
GAUGAGAAGCUUGCUUCUCUGAUGGUUAGCGGCGGACGGGUGAGUAACACGUAGGCAACCUGCCCUCAAGUUUGGGACAACUACCGGAAACGGUAGCUAAUACCGAAUAGUUGUUUUCUUCGCCUGAAGAGAACUGGAAAGACGGAGCAAUCUGUCACUUGGGGAUGGGCCUGCGGCGCAUUAGCUAGUUGGUGAGGUAACGGCUCACCAAGGCGACGAUGCGUAGCCGACCUGAGAGGGUGAUCGGCCACACUGGGACUGAGACACGGCCCAGACUCCUACGGGAGGCAGCAGUAGGGAAUCUUCCGCAAUGGGCGAAAGCCUGACGGAGCAAUGCCGCGUGAGUGAUGAAGGUUUUCGGAUCGUAAAGCUCUGUUGCCAGGGAAGAACGCUUGGGAGAGUAACUGCUCUCAAGGUGACGGUACCUGAGAAGAAAGCCCCGGCUAACUACGUGCCAGCAGCCGCGGUAAUACGUAGGGGGCAAGCGUUGUCCGGAAUUAUUGGGCGUAAAGCGCGCGCAGGCGGUCAUUUAAGUCUGGUGUUUAAUCCCGGGGCUCAACCCCGGAUCGCACUGGAAACUGGGUGACUUGAGUGCAGAAGAGGAGAGUGGAAUUCCACGUGUAGCGGUGAAAUGCGUAGAUAUGUGGAGGA